Molecule: long non-coding RNA, 2716 nt
Organism: Macrosteles quadrilineatus (aster leafhopper)
Lineage: Eukaryota; Metazoa; Arthropoda; Insecta; Hemiptera; Cicadellidae
Exons: 4
Source: RefSeq, a predicted model, not a curated record
UGUGACCGAAUUCACAUCGUAUCUUACCGCCGUUUUAUCUUUAACAAAUUAGGCCUAGAUUAAAGCCUUAACAUGUUUUAAUAUAUUAUUCCACAACUGCCGGAAAGGUUAUGUAUAGCAAAUAAUUAAUUAUCAGGUGGUUUAUGAUUUUAACCUAAAAAUUUCAUCACUAGAAGACGGCCUAGUCGCUAGGCAAAGGAUUAAUUCAAGAUUCAAGAAUAGCCUACUUCAACAACAAACAAACUGGCAUGGAGAAAGAUGACACAACAGUCUUUGUUUGCAACUGCGGAAGACGCUACAGCCAGAGGGGAACGUGGGCCCGCCAUCGGAAGCAUGAGUGCAAUAAACCACCCCAGUAUAUGUGCAAAUUUUGCUCUUACGGUGCUAAACGAAACUCAACUCUUCAAAAACACAUAAAGAGAGCACACAAAGAAAGUCUUCUAGCUGCAAGAGAGAAGGUUACAAAACAAGAGAGUAAACUGUCAUCAAACCACUCAAUCAAAUUGCUGGCUUCACCAAAGGUAGUUCUUCACCGGCUGAGUUCUAAGCUGUUGAUGUCGCAGCUGGAAAAGGAGAGGGAGGUGUCAUCUACAAAAAGUGUUGCUUUGGCUGUUGAUGUACAUGAUGGACAAAGCAGUAAAACUUAACUUAGUUUUGUGUGUUACCAAAGCUAAUCUGGACUCUAUCUACCAGACACAACAGUCUUCGUUUGCAACUGCGGAAGGAGCUACAGCAAGAGGGAAACGUGGGACCGCCAUCGGAAGCAUGAGUGCAACAAACCAGCCCAGUAUAUGUGCAAAUUUUGCUCUUACGCUGCUAAACGGAACACAUCAAGAGAGCACACACAGAAAGUCUUCCAGCUUCUAGGAGAAAUUAUCAUAAUUCUUUUUUCUUUCUUUCAUCCAAUUAAUACAUUAACUAGCCUAUAUGUUUACUUUUGUUAUGAUGAGUGCAGUAAAAAAAAUAUUUGUUGAAAUUAUAUUUAAGUUUGAUUACGUCGCACAUGCUGCUUGCCAGCUACACACCUUAGACUCACCCUCUAGUUAAGGUACGGCACCAUAGACUAAACAUGCUCCUUUAGGAGAUUUCUCAUCGCUAUGGGACAGCUCAAACCAAUUUUAUUGUUGGUUCUCUCCGGUGCAGAUGGUUGCAAUAUAGCCAAAAUUAACCACACAAUGGUCCAUACAUCUAGGAACGUCUUAGGUCUAUUCACUUCCUUUGAGUUCCACCCGGGCUUCGCCCUGUGGAUGUCCAAAAUUUUGAGAUGAGGUUUUCAAAAGUAAAUAUUUUUUGAUCUCAAUGGCAGAAUGAAUAAACUCAUUAUGUUUAUAUUUGCUUUGACAUUUCAAUGUAAACAAGAAGAACUUCCAAUAAUGCUCAUUUCACAAUUUCAGACAGCUGAUCCAAAGAAAUGUAAUAUUUUUUACACAAAUAUGUAGUAGGAUUAUUUAAUCUAAAACUUUAUCAUAGAUUAUUUAUUCUAAACCUGUCAAUGAUUUUGUAACUGAUUUUUCUUCCUAUUGCGAAGCUCGGGUACAGCACCUAGUUUUUUGUUAACAAUAAAAUAAUAGAAAGGAAAUUUUUUUGACACUAGCAAUCAAAAUUUACAAUGGUAUGAGAAUAGUCACUUUGUGUUAUAGUCUAUGAUGGUACCAAAAAAUAAUUUUUUUAUUCAUUCCAAUUUAAGACAAUUUCAACUGAGACUGCGUACACAUUUAUGCGUUUAGACCAGUGCUGAUGUUAUUUUAAGAGUCCAGUAGUUAUGCUAUUUUUUGGUUGUGCAUUGACAUUUAUUGACAAAAUACAAGAUGAUUACAGUACUUUCUUCAUCAAUAUAUUUCUAUAUUGUAUCAUUCUGUUCUUUCUUUUCGUCAUUUUUAGUUUUUUUUUGUACAUAUUUAUGAGUGUUAGUGUGAUAUAAAUUGUUUGUAGAUUUAAGAUAAAGGAAGUUAUUUUAAAUCAAUUUUGAGACGGAUCAAAUUGUGAAAUUUUCCUUUGGUUAAUGCCAAUCUGAGAAAAGCAAUAAAUUGCUGUUAAGUGCUGUGUAUAAGUUAAGACAUUUCCCAUUGGUUUGCAGAAUUGAGCCCGUAAGACUCCAUAGUAUUGGUGUAAUGUGAAUUAUAUUUUGUGUGACUUAUAUUAAGUCAUCCUGCCACUCUUGAUACGAGGCUAAAGCUAUGCUACAAAAGUUUUUUUAGUUUAUUUUACAGCAUAUGGGGCUAAAGUAUCAUAUCACAAUAAAUAUACCUAUUUUUUACAUACGUUAUUUGUUUUCAAAACCUUUUAUAUUCAAUUUCUAGUAAAAAAUAGUAAUUUGUUAGCAAGUUACAACCUUAAGAAAAAUUUUUAUUUAAGGACUUUAGAUUUGAUCUAAGGAGUGUUACUUUUACUUUACAGAUAAGAUUCAAAUUAGGUUUCAGCAAAAAUUAGCAUUUCCUUUCACUGUUAUCGUGAAGAUUAACAUAAGACUAAACAUGUUAGAAUUAACAUAGAAUGAAUAAUUAGUCAAUGAUUAAUCAUGGUAAAGGAUCUGUCUACAUCCACAGAAAACAUACUCAUCCUAUAAUUUUCAGUUACAAUCUGAUUUAUGGUAAUGUCAAAUAAUCCAGUAUUGGUAUCGUUGAGCUUGUAAGUACACAUUGCCUAUCAAAAGUAAAAUUAUAUUUUAACCUUGUAUAAAAAAAUAGAUUAGUCAAUUAAAUUUGUAUGUUAUGAU